Molecule: transfer RNA, 72 nt
Filed under: Yersinia phage fHe-Yen9-03
Lineage: Duplodnaviria; Heunggongvirae; Uroviricota; Caudoviricetes
Rfam family: tRNA
About the family: Transfer RNA (tRNA) molecules are approximately 80 nucleotides in length. Their secondary structure includes four short double-helical elements and three loops (D, anti-codon, and T loops). Further hydrogen bonds mediate the characteristic L-shaped molecular structure. tRNAs have two regions of fundamental functional importance: the anti-codon, which is responsible for specific mRNA codon recognition, and the 3' end, to which the tRNAs corresponding amino acid is attached (by aminoacyl-tRNA synthetases). tRNAs cope with the degeneracy of the genetic code in two manners: having more than one tRNA (with a specific anti-codon) for a particular amino acid; and 'wobble' base-pairing, i.e. permitting non-standard base-pairing at the 3rd anti-codon position.
Source: Rfam by way of RNAcentral
GGUCAGUUAGUUCAAUUGGUAGAACGCUUCACUCAUGAUGAAGCAGUCGCUGAUCAAGCCCAGUACUGACCA